Molecule: small nucleolar RNA, 214 nt
Filed under: Dermacentor andersoni
Lineage: Eukaryota; Metazoa; Arthropoda; Arachnida; Ixodida; Ixodidae
Description: small nucleolar RNA U3
Rfam family: Small nucleolar RNA U3
About the family: Small nucleolar RNAs (snoRNAs) are involved in the processing and modification of rRNA in the nucleolus.
Source: RNAcentral
GAGAUCGUGCUUCAUGGGAUCAUUUCUAUAGUGCGAUCGCCGAGACGCAUCCGCGAACUCGGAACACACUCGACUACGAUGACGAGUCGAGGGUCUCCGCCUGAGCGCGAAGCCGGCUUCGGAAUUCCGGGUUUCGGCCUGGGGUCCAGCCAUUGGUGACCGUUCCCUCAGCCUUGAUUGGCUGUUGGGAGGGCGGAGACUCAGUCUGAGUGGC